This is a long non-coding RNA of Passer domesticus (house sparrow), 449 nucleotides long. RefSeq lists it as uncharacterized. Lineage: Eukaryota; Metazoa; Chordata; Aves; Passeriformes; Passeridae. The record is from RefSeq and is a predicted model, not a curated record. The transcript has 5 exons.
GGUGAAAUAUGGGGGGGACUGGUGUCCCAAAGUUGAGAGACUGCUGUUCCUGGAAGUGGGCGAAGCAUCUUUAAACGGGGAGCCCUAAAGGCAGUCCUGGCCCGUGUCCAGUGGAUUCCGUGGAGUGCAUUUGCCAUCAUUUUGGAAUGUGUUCAUUAGCGUGCAGCUCUGAUAUUUUAUGGAGGUUCCACCUGAAUACGAGGAAGAACUUCUUUAUUGUCCACACACUAGAAGAGAUUGCCUAGAGACGUUGUGGAUCUCUCUUUCUUCUUUGCUCUCAUCCGAGAUCCAGAGUCUUUCAGGGAAAAGAAGAAUGGAUAUGAGAAUUUUUCACUCAAAGAUACACCAAUUUAAUAUCCAGAUUCCUACAAAGACACAGCAUCUUGUUCCUUCAAAUUCCUCAUCAAAAUUUUCCUGUGAUGACCUUUAAAAUAAAUCUUGACAGAGGU